This 508-nucleotide ribosomal RNA is filed under the name uncultured bacterium. RNAcentral's name for it is "bacterial SSU rRNA". It matches the Rfam family "Bacterial small subunit ribosomal RNA", at positions 29 to 507 of the family's 1533-position model. The record is from RNAcentral.
AAUGAACGCUGGCGGCGUGCCUAACACAUGCAAGUCGUACGAGAAAUCCCGAGCUUGCUUGGGAGAGUAAAGUGGCGCACGGGUGAGUAACGCGUGGGCAACCCACCCUCGAAUCUGGGAUAACUCCGCGAAAGCGGUGCUAAUACCGGAUAAGACCACAUUCCGUUCGCGGAAAGAGGUAAAAGCUGACCUCUCCAUGGAAGUUAGCGUUCGAGGACGGGCCCGCGUCCUAUCAGCUUGUUGGUGGGGUAAUGGCCUACCAAGGCAGCGACGGGUAGCUGGUCUGAGAGGAUGAUCAGCCACACUGGAACUGGAACACGGUCCAGACUCCUACGGGAGGCAGCAGUGAGGAAUUUUGCGCAAUGGGGGAAACCCCUGACGCAGCAACGCCGCGUGGGUGAAGAAGGCUUUCGGGUCGUAAAGCCCUGUCAGGUGGGAAGAAACUCUUCAGUACUAAUAAUGCUGAAGCCUGACGGUACCACCAGAGGAAGCACCGGCCAACUCCGUG